RNAcentral lists this ribosomal RNA (459 nucleotides) under uncultured Desemzia sp. Its description in RNAcentral is "partial 16S ribosomal RNA". It matches the Rfam family "Bacterial small subunit ribosomal RNA", at positions 341 to 792 of the family's 1533-position model. The record is from RNAcentral. Lineage: Bacteria; Bacillati; Bacillota; Bacilli; Lactobacillales; Carnobacteriaceae.
ACGGGAGGCAGCAGUAGGGAAUCUUCCGCAAUGGACGAAAGUCUGACGGAGCAACGCCGCGUGAGUGAAGAAGGUUUUCGGAUCGUAAAACUCUGUUGUUAGAGAAGAACAAGGAUGAGAGUAACUGCUCGUCCCUUGACGGUAUCUAACCAGAAAGCCAUGGCUAACUACGUGCCAGCAGCCGCGGUAAUACGUAGAUGGCAAGCGUUGUCCGGAUUUAUUGGGCGUAAAGCGAGCGCAGGCGGUUCUUUAAGUCUGAUGUGAAAGCCCCUGGCUCAACCAGGGAGGGUCAUUGGAAACUGGAGAACUUGAGUGCAGAAGAGGAAAGUGGAAUUCCAUGUGUAGCGGUGAAAUGCGUAGAUAUAUGGAGGAACACCAGUGGCGAAGGCGACUUUCUGGUCUGUAACUGACGCUGAGGCUCGAAAGCAUGGGGAGCAAACAGGAUUAGAUACCCUGGUG